AUGGUAGGAAACUCCUUUUUAAGUAGAAACACUAGUCCAAAUGUUUUGUUUGUAACACAGCACUCGUUGUCUUGAAAGUGUUUUCUCUGUUAAAAGGAGCUUGUAAUAUGCAUCCACGCGUAACCAUCUGCAUCUUCACAACACAUCAAUUGCUUGUAUAUUCACAGGUGGUGAUUGACUGAUUCGUGCAUGUCCAUGCAAUUUGGCGCAUUCAGCUGCGUGCUUGCGGAUGUGGAUGUAUUUCACAGAAGCAGCAGCAGCCUGCCUUCCCUUCCCUGGAUUCCAUCUGCUGUGCGAAACAAGAUCUGCAGUCAUUCCCAGGUACGUGGGACUUCUCUAGGCUAGAAGGUCUGUACAGCACAGACCAAGGAACUUCCUUCCUAUGAGGUUUAGUUUAGAAUACAGGAGAGUCAACUCUUUCCCAUGUUGUGACGUUUACCAUGUGCAAUUUACUGUCGGACAAGUUAACCAGACCUGCAUAAAGAAUAUCCAAAAAAUCUGAUCAACAUAGUCAGCUAAUCUAUAGCACUCAGAUCCAUAGUUCUUCCAACCUGUAUAGCCAAAGACUGGAAAUUUUUAUCCCAUUUUGUUCUUUUUCUGAUUUUAUUGGAUAAUAAUAUUGAAUUCUAGGACUUGGGUCGCUUUCCUUGUUUUCUGGUUAAUUUUUUUUUACAAUUUUCUUUUUAUUAAUAUUAUCCAGAUAUGGAACUAUAUAUUGCAAACCUGUUUUGUGACUAGCCUGACCAUCUCUUUCUGUGUCGCACCAUUGAUUAGACCCACUUUUGAUGAUGGUAGACACAGCCACACAUGACUAUCAGCUCUGGUUAAUGUCCCUGGCUUAUUUCAGGAUCAUUGCCAUGACAGAAACAUGUCAGUAAUAGGUGGUUUCCACUGAACAAUGACUUGUAGACUGUGGCCAUGCAAGCAGAGCAAAGAGAAAAGAUCAGCAAUUAUCCAGUGGAUGUGAUCCAUGCUGACAGGCAAUCUGGAUAAUUCAAAUAGAAACAACUUCUUUUGCCUCACUGGCAGGUUUGGGGCUGAUUUAGUGAGAUCAUUGUUUAACUUUCUUUGCCUGUGGAAAUGUAGUACGUGUGUUUGCUGGUUAAGUGAGGGUUUGGGGGUUAUAACCACAGCAUCUGUUCAUUUGACAUUCAAGUUUCACUCUGGUUUGGAAGCCCUUGUGCCUACAAUUUAAAAGCAGCAAUACACACCUAACUCCCAGCUGUCUGGGAACUCAGACUGCAUAUGCUUCUUGGUUUUCUAAUCUGCCCAGAGAAAUAAAACCAUCACCUGAGCCAAAGAAUAGUUUGCCUAAUUGGAUUUAAAACAAAAAAAAAUGUAGAGACACACACAGUGUGUUCUAAUGUCGCAGUUGUCUGAGCGACAUUGCUAGCUGAGCCAGACCACUUACCUAGACUUGAAGAUUUACAUUUUGAUGAUGUUUUUCAAGUGCUAUUUUAUCCAGAGGAAGAAAAAGCAGUAAUUUAAGCAGCUGCAGAAUUCCUCACACAUCUGCAGGAAGUCCCUCCUUCUGCCUUGGGCAGCACAGCAUAAUGGAUAGACCACAAACUUUAGAGUCGAUUUGACCUGGUUCAAAUCCCAGCUCCAAAACUCAUUAGCAAUAUUAUCUUGAGCAAGAUACUUCAUCUUUUCCAGCAUCACUUGCCUUAUUUAUAAAAUGUGGAUGACAACCAUUUUGAUAACUUCAAGGCUGACUUGAGGAUUAAAGUUUAUGUAUUCAAUGCACAUCUGUUGAUUGCCUACCAUGGAUCAGGCACUGUUCUGGGCACUGGAGAAAUGGCAGUGAACCGAGCAGACAGAAACACUGCCUUUGGGGAGUUGAUAAUUUAUCAGGGGAGAUAAACAAAGACAAGAUUAUUAAGGAGAAUAAAUAGCAGGUGAGAUGGUGGUAAGAGCCAGAGAAGAAACAUAAAACGUGGGAAGGGGGCAGGGAAUGAUGGUGCAGAGAGAGAUGGAACUGUGAUGGGGAGUUAUAGAAGGCUUCACUGAGAAGUUGAUCAAUAAAGAGGUGAGAGAGUAGGCUGUGGGGAUAUUUGGGAGAAGAGUGACUUGGGUUGAACUGUGUCUCCUCAAAGAGAUAGAUGAAAGUUCCAAAGACCAGUAAUUCUGAGUGUAACCUUCUUGGGAAACAAGGUCUUUACAGAGGUCAUUGAGUUUAACAUGGUCAUUAGGGUGGGCCCUAAUGGAAUAUGCUGGUGACCUUAUAAAAAGUAGAAAUUUAGACACAGAAACAGGUACAGAGGGAAGAUGAUGUGAAGACACAAAGAAUGCCUGCAGUGUGCCUGGAGUGAUGUUACUACAAGCCAGGGAACACCAAGGAUUGCUGGCAAACACCAGGAGCCAGGAGAGGCGAGGAAGAAUCCUUGCCUAGAGCCUACAGAGGACGGAUGCCCCUGCUGAUGUCUUGACUUCAGACUUCUGGCCUCUAGAAUCAUG
This 2457-nucleotide long non-coding RNA is filed under the name Homo sapiens (human). RNAcentral's name for it is "HSALNT0020939". The record is from RNAcentral. Lineage: Eukaryota; Metazoa; Chordata; Mammalia; Primates; Hominidae.